Molecule: ribosomal RNA, 778 nt
Filed under: uncultured Neocallimastigales
Lineage: Eukaryota; Fungi; Neocallimastigomycota; Neocallimastigomycetes; Neocallimastigales
Description: partial large subunit ribosomal RNA
Rfam family: Eukaryotic large subunit ribosomal RNA
Source: RNAcentral
GUACACGCUGUGACUAGCAUAUCAAUAAGCGGAGGAAAAGAAACUAACAAGGAUUCCCCUAGUAACGGCGAGUGAAGCGGGAAGAGCUCAAAUUUGAAAUCUUAAAGGGUUUCCCUUUACGAAUUGUAGUUUAAAGAAGUGUUUUCUGUUGAGGUUUUGGUAAAAGUUCUUUGGAAUAGGACAUCAUAGAGGGUGAGAAUCCCGUAUUUGACCUCUACUUUCAACUUUGUGAUACACUUUCAAAGAGUCGGAUUGUUUGGGAAUGCAGUCCAAAAUGGGUGGUAAAUUUCAUCUAAAGCUAAAUAUUGGCGAGAGACCGAUAGCGAACAAGUACCGUGAGGGAAAGAUGAAAAGAACUUUGAAAAGAGAGUUAAACAGUACGUGAAAUUGUCAAAAGGGAAGCGUUUGACACCAGUGUUGUUUUUCUGAAAAUCAAUUAAAGAACUGUUUAUGCUAAGUUGUUUAGUACUUUAUCAGCUAACUGUUUAGUUUUGAGCUUUUCUUUAGAUGCACUUUUCAGUUAGACAAGUCAACAUCAAUUUCUUUUGCUGUAAAAAAGCUUGAGGAAGGUGGCUUGAGAUUCGUCUUAAGUGUUUAUAGCCUCUUGCCUAUGCAGUCGGAGUAGAUUGAGGUCUGCAGCGUAGAUCCUUCGGGGCUAAAUGCAUUUGUGCUAAGUUAUAGCAUUUUAUAGACAACUUGUUGACUAUGAUUUGUCUUGUAGCUUACUCGCUUAUGUUAUUUUACCUACGCUUAGGAUGUUGAAGAUGUAGCACAUCAU